Molecule: ribosomal RNA, 297 nt
Filed under: uncultured bacterium
Lineage: Bacteria
Description: partial 16S ribosomal RNA
Rfam family: Bacterial small subunit ribosomal RNA
Source: RNAcentral
CCUACGGGGGGCAGCAGUGAGGAAUAUUGGUCAAUGGGCGGAAGCCUGAACCAGCCAAGUCGCGUGAGGGAAUAAGGCCCUACGGGUCGUAAACCUCUUUUGCCGGGGAGCAAGGGCCGGGACGAGUCCCGGUCCGGAGAGUACCCGGAGAAAAAGCAUCGGCUAACUCCGUGCCAGCAGCCGCGGUAAUACGGAGGAUGCGAGCGUUAUCCGGAUUUAUUGGGUUUAAAGGGAGCGUAGACGGCAUUGCAAGUCCGGAGUGAAAGCCCACGGCCCAACCGGGGGACUGCUCUGGAA